UACAGAGGGUGCAAGCGUUGUUCGGAAUUAUUGGGCGUAAAGCGUGCGCAGGCGGUUUUGUAAGCCAGAUGUGAAAUCCCCGGGCUCAACCUGGGAAUGGCAUUUGGGACUGCAAGGCUUGAGUGCGGCAGAGGAGACUGGAAUUCCUGGUGUAGCAGUGAAAUGCGUAGAUAUCAGGAGGAAUACCGAUGGCGAAGGCAGGUCUCUGGGCUGACACUGACGCUCAUGCACGAAAGCGUGGGGAGCAAACAGG
This 253-nucleotide ribosomal RNA is filed under the name uncultured bacterium. RNAcentral's name for it is "partial 16S ribosomal RNA". It matches the Rfam family "Bacterial small subunit ribosomal RNA", at positions 524 to 776 of the family's 1533-position model. The record is from RNAcentral.